AUUGGACGCUGGCGGCAUGCCUUACACAUGCAAGUCGAACGGCAGCACGGGGGCAACCCUGGUGGCGAGUGGCGAACGGGUGAGUAAUACAUCGGAACGUAUCCUGUAGCGGGGGAUAACCUCUCGAAAGAGAGGCUAAUACCGCAUACGACCUACGGGUGAAAGAGGGGAUCGCAAGACCUCUCACUAUUGGAGCGGCCGAUGUCGGAUUAGCUAGUUGGCGGGGUAACAGCCCACCAAGGCUACGAUCCGUAGCUGGUCUGAGAGGACGACCAGCCACACUGGAACUGAGACACGGUCCAGACUCCUACGGGAGGCAGCAGUGGGGAAUUUUGGACAAUGGGCGCAAGCCUGAUCCAGCCAUGCCGCGUGAGUGAAGAAGGCCU
This 386-nucleotide ribosomal RNA is filed under the name uncultured bacterium. RNAcentral's name for it is "bacterial SSU rRNA". It matches the Rfam family "Bacterial small subunit ribosomal RNA", at positions 30 to 417 of the family's 1533-position model. The record is from RNAcentral.